GUGAAACCAAUUCUUAAAAACCAGUUUUAUUAUUUCUUUCCCUCACAUAUUGUGUCUCUGAGUUAAACAUCAACCUGUUACAAAUUCAUUCUUGCCAUUUCUGUUACCUCAUUGAGAAGGGUCUGUUAAAUCCUGGGGGGUUUGCGCUUAACCGCGGAUAAAUCCUUGAGGACAGUGCGUUCAGCACGUCUCAGAUCAAAUAUUGUUCUUCUUGUUUUCUAUUCUUCUUUUGCAGGUUUGUUUCAUAGACACAAGAAGCAGAGCAACAAUAAUUUUGCUUGCAGGUUCCUUAUAACAACAUCAGGAGCUUUGUAACAUCGGCAGGUUCCUUAUAACAACAUCAGGAGCUUUGUAACAUCGGCAGGUUCCUAAUAAUAACGCAGAUUCGCCGCAACAAGGUAAAAUUCUCCAACAAUCUCAAGGAUUUAUUAUGG
RNAcentral lists this long non-coding RNA (434 nucleotides) under Trifolium pratense (red clover). RNAcentral's name for it is "long non-coding RNA (TPRA_LNC005481)". Lineage: Eukaryota; Viridiplantae; Streptophyta; Magnoliopsida; Fabales; Fabaceae. The record is from RNAcentral.